This 912-nucleotide ribosomal RNA is filed under the name uncultured archaeon. Its description in RNAcentral is "bacterial SSU rRNA". It matches the Rfam family "Archaeal small subunit ribosomal RNA", at positions 1 to 922 of the family's 1478-position model. The record is from RNAcentral.
UUACGGUUGAUCCUGCCGGAGGCGACCGCUUUUGGAGUUCGAUUAAGCCAUGCGAGUAGAAAGAAAUUAGAUUCUUUGCGAACUGCUCAGUAACACGUGGAUAACCUGCCCUAUGCUCCGGAAUAACCUCGGGAAACUGAGAAUAAUACCGGAUAGAUCACAACGCCUGGAACGGUGUGUGGUUGAAAGAUUACGGCAUAGGAUGGGUCUGCGGCGUAUCAGGUUGUAGGGGGUGUAAAGGACCUCCUAGCCAUCGACGCGUACGGGUGUUGGGAGACAUAGCCCGGAGAUGGAUUCUGAGACACGAAUCCAGACCCUACGGGGUGCAGCAGGCGCGAAAACUUCACACUGCAGGAAACUGUGAUGAGGGAACUCCAAGUGCACGCACUUAGUGUGUGCUUUUUUCAACUAUUAAUCGGUUGAAGAAUAAGGGCUGGGAAAGACCGGUGCCAGCCGCCGCGGUAAUACCGGCAGCUCAAGUGGUCGUCGCUUUUAUUGGGCCUAAAACGUCCGUAGCCUGUUUGGUAAAUCUGUGGGUAAAUCAACCAGCUUAACUGGUUGAAUUCUGCAGAGACUGCCAGACUAGGGACCGGGAGAGGUGUGGGGUACUCUAGGGGUAGGGGUAAAAUCCUGUCAUCCUUAGAGGACCACCAGUUGCGAAGGCGCCACACUGGAACGGAUCCGACGGUCAGGGACGAAGCCUAGGGGCACGAACCGGAUUAGAUACCCGGGUAGUCCUAGGUGUAAACGCUGUGAACUUGGUGUCGGGAGUCCGCAAUGGGCCCCCGGUGCCGGAGUGAAGAUGUUAAGUUCACUGCCUGGGGAGUAUGGUCGCAAGGCUGAAACUUAAAGGAAUUGGCGGGGGAGCACUGCAACGGGAGGAGCGUGCGGUUUAAUUGGAUCAACGCCGGA